Molecule: ribosomal RNA, 385 nt
Filed under: Anaplasma phagocytophilum
Lineage: Bacteria; Pseudomonadati; Pseudomonadota; Alphaproteobacteria; Rickettsiales; Anaplasmataceae
Description: bacterial SSU rRNA
Rfam family: Bacterial small subunit ribosomal RNA
Source: RNAcentral
UUGUCGAACGGGGUUAUUCUUUAUAGCUUGCUAUGGGGACAAUUAGUGGCAGACGGGUGAGUAAUGCAUAGGAAUCUACCUAGUAGUAUAGGAUAGCCACUAGAAGUGGUGGGUAAUACUGUAUAAUCCCUGCGGGGGAAAGAUUUAUCGCUACAUGAUGAGCCUAUGUUAGAUUAGCUAGUUGGUGGGGUAAUGGCCUACCAAGGCAGUGAUCUAUAGCUGGUCUGAGAGGAUGAUCAGCCACACUGGAACUGAGACACGGUCCAGACUCCUACGGGAGGCAGCAGUGGGGAAUAUUGGACAAUGGGCGCAAGCCUGAUCCAGCUAUGCCGCGUGAGUGAGGAAGGCCUUAGGGUUGUAAAACUCUUUCAGUAGGGAAGAUAAU